AUAUCGUGAUAAAGACAUUUUCUCAGCAGUUCCUUAAACCUUUCCCACGUAUCAUACAAUGAUUCUCCAUCAUUCUUAUAGAAAUUAUUGAUCUCACCCUUUAGUUU
Molecule: small nucleolar RNA, 107 nt
Organism: Humulus lupulus (European hop)
Lineage: Eukaryota; Viridiplantae; Streptophyta; Magnoliopsida; Rosales; Cannabaceae
Source: RefSeq, a predicted model, not a curated record